RNAcentral lists this ribosomal RNA (378 nucleotides) under Rhyncogonus lahainae. RNAcentral's name for it is "partial 16S ribosomal RNA". It matches the Rfam family "Archaeal large subunit ribosomal RNA", at positions 1948 to 2614 of the family's 2987-position model. Lineage: Eukaryota; Metazoa; Arthropoda; Insecta; Coleoptera; Curculionidae. The record is from RNAcentral.
GGCCUGCCCACUGAAAGUUUAAAUGGCCGCGGUAUUUUGACCGUGCAAAGGUAGCAUAAUAAUUAGUUUUUUAAUUGAAAGCUGGAAUGAAAGGUUGGAUGAGAAAAUAGCUGUCUCUGUUUAAGUUAAUUAGAAUUUUAUUUUUAAGUAAAAAAGCUUAAAUGAUAAUAGAAGACGAGAAGACCCUAUAGAGUUUUAAUUUAGUUGGGGUGAUUGAAAAAUUUAAUUAACUUUUUUUAUAUAUAAACAUUGAUAUAUGAGUGGUUGAUCCUUUAUUUGAGAUUAAAAGAAAAAAUUACCUUAGGGAUAACAGCGUAAUUUUUUUAGAGAGUUCAAAUCGAAAAAAAAGAUUGCGACCUCGAUGUUGGAUUAAAAUUA